UUGAAUCAAAUAAAUUCAAAGAGCAGAUUCAGAAGUUAAAUCUUCUUGAACCCAAAGAAAUUGAAAGAUCAGAUUCAGACGUGAAAGCAAUUAAAAAAAAGUGAGAUAUUGCAGUGAUAAAGGGCCUGAAAGAUCACAGAAAAAUCAAAUUCAGACGAGUGACACUGCAGAAUUUGAUUUCGCAAGUUUAUGAAAAACGAUUGAUUGGACCGUAGGGUUAUCAGGAUCCAUUCAAGAAGCUGAACUUGC
Molecule: long non-coding RNA, 249 nt
Filed under: Phaseolus vulgaris (common bean)
Lineage: Eukaryota; Viridiplantae; Streptophyta; Magnoliopsida; Fabales; Fabaceae
Description: long non-coding RNA (PVUL_LNC003792)
Source: RNAcentral